Molecule: non-coding RNA, 110 nt
Organism: Octopus bimaculoides (California two-spot octopus)
Lineage: Eukaryota; Metazoa; Mollusca; Cephalopoda; Octopoda; Octopodidae
Source: Rfam
AUAUUUCCUAAUAAUGUAGUAUAUAUGCUAAAAGUGGAACACUUCAGAGAAGUUUAGCAUGGCUCCUGCGUGAUAAUGUCAUAAUUUCACAAACUGCUAAUUUUCUUUUU